AUUGAACGCUGGCGGCAGGCCUAACACAUGCAAGUCGAGCGGAGCGGCGGACGGGUGAGUAAUGCCUAGGAAUCUGCCUGGUAGUGGGGGAUAACGUCCGGAAACGGGCGCUAAUACCGCAUACUCUCAGAUGAGCCUAGGUCGGAUUAGCUAGUUGGUGGGGUAAAGGCCGACCAAGGCGACGAUCCGUAACUGGUCAGAGAGGAUGAUCAGUCACAUUGGGACUGAGAUACGGCCCAGACGCCUACGGGAGGGAGCAGUGGGGGAUAUUGCACAAUGGGCGAAAGCCUGAUGCAGCGACGCCGCGUGGGGGAUGAAGGCUUUCGGGUUGUAAACCUCUUUCGCUAACGAACGGGUAGGUGGAGAAGAAGCGCCGGCUAACUACGUGCCAGCCGCCGCGGUAAUAC
Molecule: ribosomal RNA, 407 nt
Filed under: uncultured bacterium
Lineage: Bacteria
Description: partial 16S ribosomal RNA
Rfam family: Bacterial small subunit ribosomal RNA
Source: RNAcentral